Ictidomys tridecemlineatus (thirteen-lined ground squirrel) is the source of this 589-nucleotide non-coding RNA. NCBI's taxonomy places the organism in Eukaryota, Metazoa, Chordata, Mammalia, Rodentia, Sciuridae. The record is from RefSeq and is a predicted model, not a curated record.
AAGAACAUCCUGAACUGUGGCUUCUGUCCUCCAUCUUCAAGGACUUCAACACUGCAGCUCUCUGACUAUUCUUGAAUACUUACAAUCCCUUCUCAUUCUCGUUUGCUGCCUCCCUCUUCUAAUUUUAAGGACUCUGAUUAUAUUGGCCUACCUGAUAAUCCUGGACUAUCUAUCUAUUUGAAGAGAUCACAGUCAACGACCAGUCAUUCUGGACAACCAGCCCAAUCAAGGCUCUAAUUUUCUGCAGGUUUGGCUAACAUCAGUUUGCAAGUACAGGUUCCUCAAUAUAUUUCAGAACCAGGCUUUUUUUAGUAGACUGGGACACAUCAGAAGAAUUCAUGAAUUACAGGAGAAUAUUGUAAGACGGAGACAUUCUUACUUUCAUUAAAGAGAAUGUGUGCAUGAUUUGGAAAAUGGUACACAUAGAGAAUAUUGAAUGGAAUCUUUCAAGCACAUAGGCAAACAACUAUGGAAUUUAAAUAAAAAGUUGUAAUCAUCAAAUGAUUCUUGGAACAAUUUACUAAUUGGGUCAAAAAUGUAUUUAGAGAAUUCAGAUUUUAAAAAAAAAUCAUCACCUUGGGAAGUGCCA